GACUUCUGGUUUAAUGCACCUGGCCCGCGGCCCACAAGGCCUGUGAGUGCCGGCGCGCGUUUACCAUCCUUCCAGCAACGGCUACCCUUAACUGGGCGGCUGGAACUGGAUCUUUUACUUUGAAAAAAUUAGAGUGUUUAAAGCAGGCGUUUGCUCUGAAUACAUUAGCAUGGAAUAAUAAUCUAGGACUUCGGUUCUAUUUUGUUGGUUUCUAACUCUGAAGUAAUGAUUGAUAGGGAUAGUUGGGGGUGCUAGUAUUGGCCGGUCAGAGGUGAAAUUCUUGGAUUCGGUCAAGACUAACUUAUGCGAAAGCAUU
RNAcentral lists this ribosomal RNA (316 nucleotides) under uncultured Glissomonadida. Its description in RNAcentral is "SSU rRNA". The stretch from base 102 to 316 matches the Rfam family "Eukaryotic small subunit ribosomal RNA", at positions 739 to 955 of the family's 1831-position model. The record is from RNAcentral. Lineage: Eukaryota; Cercozoa; Glissomonadida.